GUUAGAGGCAGCCACAGUUUGAUUUUUUUGGAAAGGUUUUUAUUUUUGUGGUUUGUUUUUUGAAUGAACAAAAGCACAAGCAAUUAAGCUUUGCACAGAGAGAGUGAGAGAGAGAGAGAGAGAUGAAUUCAAAAGAGAGUUGUAGAAGUGAGCUCCGCAUUGCGAUUCGUCAGCUCAGUGAUCGUUGCCUUUACACUGCUUCCAAAUGGGCAGCAGAACAGUUGAUGGGUAUUGAGCAAGACCCGGCAAACUUCACGCCUUCAAACACCAGAUUCCAGUGGGGAAGCUCAAGCAUUCGCAGGAGAUUCCGCACGAAUGAGAUCACUUCAACACCCAUUGCUGGUGUGUCAUACGUGUCCACUCCUGUGAUGGAGGAGGAUGAUGCUGUGGAUGGUGACUUUUACCUUCUGGCUAAGUCUUACUUUGACUGCCGAGAGUACAGGAGGGCUGCUCAUGUGCUACGGGACCAAACUGGGAAGAAAUCUGUGUUCUUGCGUUGUUAUGCUCUUUAUCUGGCUGGGGAAAAGCGGAAAGAAGAAGAGGUGAUAGAACUUGAGGGACCCUUAGGUAAGAGUGAUUCUGUGAAUAGCGAACUGGUCUCUUUGGAGUGCGAGUUAUCAAUACUACGCAAGAAUGGCUCGAUUGAUCCAUUUGGAUUGUACUUGUAUGGUCUUGUUCUCAAAGAGAAAGGCAGCGAGAAUGUUGCUCGUACAGUUCUUGUUGAGUCUGUGAAUAGCUACCCUUGGAACUGGAAUGCAUGGUCAGAGCUGCAGUCUUUGUGCACUACGAUUGACACCCUGAACAGCCUAAAUCUCAACAACCAUUGGAUGAAGGACUUCUUUCUUGCCAGUGCUUACCAAGAAAUUAGGAUGCACAGCGAAUCUUUAGCAAAAUAUGAAUAUCUACAGGGAACUUUUGGUUAUAGUAAUUACAUCCAGGCUCAAAUUGCAAAAGCCCAGUACAGUUUGAGGGAAUUUCAACAAGUUGAAACAAUAUUUGAAGAACUUCUAAGAAAUGAUCCUUACCGAGUUGAAGACAUGGAUAUGUAUUCCAAUGUGCUCUAUGCAAAUGAGUGUUCUUCUGCCCUGAGUUACCUUGCCCAUAGGGUAUUUAUGACUGAUAAAUACAGGCCUGAAUCUUGUUGCAUUAUUGGCAAUUACUAUAGUUUAAAGGGGCAGCAUGAGAAGUCGGUUAUGUAUUUUAGGAGGGCACUCAAAUUGAACAAAAAUUAUCUGUCUGCUUGGACACUUAUGGGUCAUGAGUAUAUUGAGAUGAAAAAUACUCCAGCUGCUGUGGAUGCCUAUCGACGGGCUAUAGAUAUAAAUCCAUGUGAUUAUCGAGCAUGGUAUGGACUAGGACAAGCUUAUGAGAUGAUGGGCAUGCCAUUCUAUGCCCUACAUUACUUCCGAAAAUCUGUAUUCUUGCAGCCAAAUGAUUCUCGGUUGUGGAUCUCAAUGGCUCAUUGUUAUGAAACUGAUCAACUUCGCAUGCUUGAGGAGGCAAUUAAGUGUUACAGAAGGGCAGCAAAUUGUAAUGACAGGGAAGCAAUUGCCCUGCACCAACUAGCAAAGUUGCAAUAUGAACUCGGGCGUCCUGAAGAGGCAGCAUUUUACUACAAGAAGGAUUUGGAGAGGAUGGAAGCUGAAGAGAGGGAAGGACCAAAUAUGGUAGAAGCUUUGCUUUAUCUUGCUACGUACUAUAAGACCCAGAAGAGAUUUGAGGAGGCAGAGGUGUAUUGUACCCGUCUUCUGGAUUUUACUGGCCCAGAGAAGGAAACAGCAAAGAGUUUACUUCGAGGAAUGAGAACAACACAAUCUGGUUUCCCUUCGAUGGAUGUUGAGCACUUCUCUCCCUGAAUUUUUUGUUUCCAAAUAGAUGUACAUGUAUGCCUCUACUCCCAGUUUCUGACUUAUGGAAAUCGAUGAAUGAUAAAAAGCUUGGGAUGAGAUCAGAAUGCAACCAUAUCUUGAACGCUGCUGAACAAAUUGAUGUAUUUUCAAUUGUAAUCUAAUUAAUUAUUUUCAUAGUGGGAUAGAUGCUGCCCCAAUGGAAUGUUUCAGUCUGAAUGUGGUGCUGCAGAUAUAUAGGAAACAAGUUUGAAGUUUGGAAAGUAUAUUUCUUCCUUAUUUGGAGUUGCUGUACACUAGAACUUGAUUGUUGACUAGAAGCCCAAUGUAAUUCUUCUGAAGUUUAAUCUGUUGUGAUCGUUCAUCAAUGUCAUAGAAGACGUGGGUAGGUGGAUUCAGUGGUUAAGAUGUUGCUUUGGAAGUCAGGAUCCAAAUGACGAUAAAUUUUGUAUACAUUCAGUUGCAUAGGGUUUGAAAUUGUCAUGAGCCUAUCUGGACAGUAAUUGUGAGAACAGGCUGGGCCACUUUAUGAUAGCUAUAAUGGUGUUCGAGGAAGCUCUGUUCUUCAGGUGUGCUGUUUGUGCAGUAUUCCUUUUCCUUAUGAUUCUUCAGAGGCACGUGUUUUAUACCAUCUGCAAAGUGCAAGUGAGAGAGAUGACAUGGGGACUAGCUAUGGUCGGCAUUUCUCAUGCAGAGAACUGUGAGAGGAAUUUCAUGCACUUGUACGAUACUUGAUACUCAAAAUGAUUAUAGUUAUCUUUAGAAGGGACUAGUCAAUAACUUUUGUUACUUAA
Molecule: RNA transcript, 2641 nt
Organism: Quercus robur (English oak)
Lineage: Eukaryota; Viridiplantae; Streptophyta; Magnoliopsida; Fagales; Fagaceae
Gene name: anaphase-promoting complex subunit 8-like
Exons: 5
Source: RefSeq, a predicted model, not a curated record